Molecule: long non-coding RNA, 1855 nt
Organism: Helianthus annuus (common sunflower)
Lineage: Eukaryota; Viridiplantae; Streptophyta; Magnoliopsida; Asterales; Asteraceae
Exons: 9
Source: RefSeq, a predicted model, not a curated record
AAAGUGUACCCAAACUUCUUUCAUUGACACCAUGAAUAAUCUUCCUAUAUAAUAAAGCAAAACUUUGCAAUCCUAGGUGGCACAAUUCUAAGCCCUCCCCCUUAUUUGUAUCCUAUGUGUCAACACAUGAAGCCCCUCCCUUUAAUUGAAUUCCAGGUUUACACCAGAAAGAAGCCUAUGCGUUUGCAGGUUUCCUCAAAUAACUUAUCUCAUUCAAAAUUCAAAUUCAUUAUCACCAAACCAAAUCUGCAAAACAAAUUCCAAAACCCAGAGAAAAAGAGAGAGAAGAGAAGAGACGACCCAUGUUUCAUCUUUUCAAAAACCCUUUUACCAACGCGUUUUCUUCGGAUCUUCGUUUUUCUUCGUUGUUUUUGACGAUUUCGUUUACAUAUUCGUGUAGAUCGUUCUUUGAUCUACGUUUUGUGUAUGGAUUUGAUGUGUUUUGAUGAAACUUCCGUCAACGAUCGUUGCGGUUAUCAGAGGUUAAGAUCUAGAUUUGUUGUUUCAGAAGGAUGAGGGUUGGAGAAACGACGAUGGUGGUGAGCAGUGGUAAGCUUUGGCGAUUAAUCUCUCAAACUCGAUUUUGAAUCUUUGAAUCAACAAGUUUUAUCUUCUCAAUUUCAACAAACCGUAGAUAUCUUCAAUUGCGACUGAAGCAAACAGGCAAGUUUGUUAUAGACCUAUGAAAUCAAGUAAAUGAUCAAGUUGUAGUAUAGUAGAUAUGCAGAUGAAGCGAAUUAGGCUUCCGGAACCUCCUGGUAGUCCACCGAGAGGUGUACCGGACAUCUUCAUAAGUGGUGUUUACGGUGUCGUCAAGCGCGCUAUUAUCAUCAGUAACGGUUGUCCGGCGUUGGAUAAUCAGAGCGUCAGUUCAGUUUGAGUGCUUGGGUUGUCAGAAAAGCAAACUUCAUAUGAAAACGGGAAGCUUGAGAAAUACAAGUUAGCAUCGGAAGGUAUUAAUCAAGCACAACUGGCUGGUGAAUUAUUCUUAAAGGAACUCAAGGAAAACGACAUUCCACUUGAAAAUGUAAGAAUAUGUUAUUCUCCGUUUUCAAGAACCACCCAUACAGCCGAAGUGGUUGCUUCAGUUCUGAAUCUUUCAUUCUUUUAUAGAAGGACCCCAAUGCAAGGUUAGGGUAUUGGUGGGGCCCGAUGAGUUUCUUCGGGAGCGGUAUUUUGUUGCAUCUUUUUCCUUUGUCAAAAGACACGAGUUUAUACAUGUAGUCAAUAUGCAGGUUUAUGAAGAUCUUCGAGAGCGUUAUUUUGGUCCUACAUUUGAACUUCAAUCUCAUGAUAAAGAAAAGCACAAUGAGCUGGAGAAAAUUAAGACGAAGCACACUUCAACGCUAUUAAUUAUAUUGCAGUGAUGUUACAGUAUCAGCAACCAUAAUUAAAUUGCAGCGCUAUGGUGUCUUUGGAUAAUGAGAAACAGUCGGGCUUUUAAUGAAAAGGGGGAACCCUGUGCCAAGGUGGCUGAGAAUGUGAAGGAGCAAUCCUAAGGAAGGCGCACCCACCUAGGCUCAUCUCGCUUCAUCAUCAAUCGGGACACAAGAAAACCCGCCAACGACAACGACAUUUCUCCUCCUAACAUACAAACGCAUAGCAACAAGAAAAGGAGCAAAAGGACAGUAUUUGUGUUUGUUUUUGUUUUUGUUUUUGGUACUUAGAAAAGGGGAAACUUAAAUAUUUGUUAGUAAAUUCAUAGAGGUGCUGGUCAGUGAGGAAAAAACUUUAAGGUAGAUUGACAAUUUGAAAUCUGUUAGCUAGAUAAGUUCUAGAUAAGUUAGUUUUUAGUUGGUCUAUCAGCAGAAAGAAAGGAGAUAAAAAGUAUGUUUUUGUGUUGCACAUUUUAAGA